CGGGUGAGUAAUGCCUAGGAAUCUGCCUGGUAGUGGGGGAUAACGUUCCGAAAGGAACGCUAAUACCGCAUACGUCCUACGGGAGAAAGCAGGGGACCUUCGGGCCUUGCGCUAUUAGAUGAGCCUAGGUCGGAUUAGCUAGUUGGUGAGGUAAAGGCUCACCAAGGCGACGAUCCGUAACUGGUCUGAGAGGAUGAUCAGUCACACUGGAACUGAGACACGGUCCAGACUCCUACGGGAGGCAGCAGUGGGGAAUAUUGGACAAUGGGCGAAAGCCUGAUCCAGCCAUGCCGCGUGUGUGAAGAAGGUCUUCGGAUUGUAAAGCACUUUAAGUUGGGAGGAAGGGCUGCUGGUUAAUACCCUGCAGUUUUGACGUUACCAACAGAAUAAGCACCGGCUAACUUCGUGCCAGCAGCCGCGGUAAUACGAAGGGGGCAAGCGUUAAUCGGAAUUACUGGGCGUAAAGCGCGCGUAGGUGGUUCGUUAAGUUGGAUGUGAAAGCCCCGGGCUCAACCUGGGAACUGCAUCCAAAACUGGCGAGCUAGAGUACGGUAGAGGGUGGUGGAAUUUCCUGUGUAGCGGUGAAAUGCGUAGAUAUAGGAAGGAACACCAGUGGCGAAGGCGACCACCUGGACUGAUACUGACACUGAGGUGCGAAAAGCGUGGGGAGCAAACAGGAUUAGAUACCCCUGGUAGUCCACGCCGUAAACGAUGUCAAC
RNAcentral lists this ribosomal RNA (719 nucleotides) under Ectopseudomonas oleovorans. RNAcentral describes it as "partial 16S ribosomal RNA". It matches the Rfam family "Bacterial small subunit ribosomal RNA", at positions 103 to 816 of the family's 1533-position model. Lineage: Bacteria; Pseudomonadati; Pseudomonadota; Gammaproteobacteria; Pseudomonadales; Pseudomonadaceae. The record is from RNAcentral.